This 310-nucleotide ribosomal RNA is filed under the name uncultured bacterium. Its description in RNAcentral is "partial 16S ribosomal RNA". It matches the Rfam family "Bacterial small subunit ribosomal RNA", at positions 503 to 807 of the family's 1533-position model. The record is from RNAcentral.
AAGAGACAGCAGUAGCCGCGGUAAUACGAAGGGUGCAAGCGUUACUCGGAAUUACUGGGCGUAAAGCGUGCGUAGGUGGUGGUUUAAGUCCGUUGUGAAAGCCCUGGGCUCAACCUGGGAAUUGCAGUGGAUACUGGGUCACUAGAGUGUGGUAGAGGAUAGUGGAAUUUCCGGUGUAGCAGUGAAAUGCGUAGAGAUCGGAAGGAACAUCUGUGGCGAAGGCGACUAUCUGGGCCAACACUGACACUGAGGCACGAAAGCGUGGGGAGCAAACAGGAUUAGAUACCCCAGUAGUCCCUGUCUCUUAUAC